This 185-nucleotide unclassified non-coding RNA is filed under the name fungal sp. RNAcentral's name for it is "partial internal transcribed spacer region". The stretch from base 1 to 46 matches the Rfam family "Eukaryotic small subunit ribosomal RNA", at positions 1786 to 1831 of the family's 1831-position model. Lineage: Eukaryota; Fungi. The record is from RNAcentral.
AAGUCGUAACAAGGUAACCGUAGGUGAACCUGCGGUUGGAUCAUUACCAAUCCCGACUCGCAAGAGUCUCAACACUUGUGCACUAAAUCUGUUUCUGGGUCCUUUCGAGGGCCCAAACUAUAAACCAUAUUGUCUUAUUCAUUACUAAAUGAAAACAACUUUUGACAACGGAUCUCUUGGCUCUC